CUCCUACAACAGAAAAUCUUUCCGGCUGCCUUUUUGCCAAAGUCCGAAAUCGUUAUCACCAAAAAAAUAAAACUGCCACAAACCAAAUAACCUGCCGUGACUAACACCUUCACCGCCUCCUGCAACUGCAAAUCCCCAGCAGCCAUCUACAGAACCCAGUCCCUCCCUCCGACACCUUCUACAUACAACCAACUUACCUAAAUUACAGCCAAACAAAAGACCAAGCCAUCGCCGACCAUGACACCAAACGGUGAAAAUUCUUACAGUCAUCUUCAUUACCCACAAAUCACAAAACCAAAAAAAAAUUUAAUUCCCAUAUAACCCAACGUUGUGACCGCAGUUCCAAAAAAGUUGAAUUCCAGAAAAGUCAUUAACCUUGCGACGGCAGUCCCCGCUCCAGUAAUAGCCGUCCAAGCCCAACUGUCGAAAAUAAUACCACUGUAAUGCGACACCCACACCCGCAGUCGACCAACAUAUUACCUUCAUCCAAAACCAGAAACGGAAUCAUCUCUCUCACUGCGCCCCACUUUGUUGAGGCGUUCCUCGUCGGCCAGUUCCAGUCGCCGACCUCUGCAGUCUUCAAUGCGUUGUAUGAAUUAUGGGUUUGGGGGCUGGGUUAUUAAUUAAGUGGGUUGGGUUAUUAGUUAUUAGUUGGGUUUGGGUUAAUUGGGUUAUUAAUUAAGUGGGUUGGGUAUUAGUUAUCAAUUGGGUUUUGGGUUAAUUGGUUUAAUAAUUAAGUGGGUUGGGUUAUUAGUUAUCAAUUGGGUUUGG
RNAcentral lists this long non-coding RNA (771 nucleotides) under Olea europaea subsp. europaea. The record is from RNAcentral. Lineage: Eukaryota; Viridiplantae; Streptophyta; Magnoliopsida; Lamiales; Oleaceae.